This 513-nucleotide long non-coding RNA is filed under the name Carica papaya (papaya). RNAcentral describes it as "long non-coding RNA (CPAP_LNC007654)". Lineage: Eukaryota; Viridiplantae; Streptophyta; Magnoliopsida; Brassicales; Caricaceae. The record is from RNAcentral.
GGUCGAUCAUCUUGAUGGCCAAGAAGUGGGAAGACUUGGUGAGCCGAUCAAUAAUUACCCAAAUAGCAUCAUGUCCCAAGCGUGCCCUAGGCAAUCCUAUCACGAAAUCCAUUAUGAUGUGUUCCCACUUCUACUUCAGAAUCGGUAAUGGUUAAAGUAGUUCGCUUGGGUGUUGAUGCUCUGCCUUGACUUACUGACACGCCACCACUUGGAAACAAAGUCGACCACCUCUCUUUUCAUCUCGUUCCACUAAAAUCGGAAUCGCAUACUUUGAUACAUCUUAGUACUUUGGGGAUGCAUGUCAAACUUUGAGCUAUGAGCCUCUGUCAUGAUAUCCCUUUUCCUAGUCGAGCACUACUUCAACUUUUUGGGGGUUUACCGACACUCCAUCUUUUGAUAUGAUGUACCCUAAGAAGGUAGUCUGCUCAAGCCAAAACCCACACUUACUCAACUUUGCAUACAGCUUCUUCUCUCUGAGAACCUACAAAACCUAAGUCAGAUGGUGAGCGUAUU